GGAAUGUGCCACAUCUGCUCUCACUCUGCCAUGGACUCCUGGACCCUCUGUGUGUCCCUUUGUAUCCUGGUAGCGACAUGCACAGAUGCUGGCAUUAUCCGGUCACCCAAGCAUGAGGUGACAGAAAUGGGACAAACAGUGACUCUGAGAUGUGAGCCAAUUUUCGGCCACAAACUCCUUUUCUGGUACAGACAGACCUUUGUGCAGGGACUGGAAUUGCUGAGUUACUUCCGGAGCCGAUCUAUUAUAGAUGAUGCAGGUAUGCCCACAGAUCGAUUCUCAGCUGAGAGGUCUGAUGGAUCAUUCUCUAUUCCGAAGAUCCAGUCUGCAGAGCAGGGGGACUCGGCCGUGUAUGUAUGUGCAAGCCGCUUAGCCACAGCACUGCAGAAUCUCCCCCUCCCUGUGCAGAAACUCUGGUGCUUCCUCUUUUCCCCACAGCUCCCAGCAGUCCUGAGCAAAGUCUUUCCUGCCUCACCCUCCCCACAAGAAUAA
This is a non-coding RNA of Pongo pygmaeus (Bornean orangutan), 492 nucleotides long. The record is from the annotation of a RefSeq genome assembly. NCBI's taxonomy places the organism in Eukaryota, Metazoa, Chordata, Mammalia, Primates, Hominidae.